Molecule: ribosomal RNA, 253 nt
Filed under: uncultured bacterium
Lineage: Bacteria
Description: partial 16S ribosomal RNA
Rfam family: Bacterial small subunit ribosomal RNA
Source: RNAcentral
UACAGAGGUCCCAAGCGUUGUUCGGAUUCAUUGGGCGUAAAGGGUGCGUAGGUGGCGCCGUAAGUCGGGUGUGAAAUUUCGGAGCUUAACUCCGAAACUGCAUUCGAUACUGCGGUGCUUGAGGACUGGAGAGGAGACUGGAAUUCAUGGUGUAGCAGUGAAAUGCGUAGAGAUCAUGAGGAACACCGGUGGCGAAGGCGGGUCUCUGGGCCGAAACUGACGCUGAGGAGCGAAAGCGUGGGGAGCAAACAGG